UCAUUCAAUCGGGCCAAUGUGAAUCGGACGCUUCACGCUUGGGGAAAAUUCAAGAUGGCGUCUCUUUAUUUCGUUUAGCAGUGGCAUAGAACGUGGAGUUAACAGAGUUUAGUGAGCGCUGGUCAUCGCAUCACAUCAUGCGCAGUAUUAGCUGCCUACCAGAAAUAAGAAAGUCCUACGCCCUGAUAAAUAGGCUACUCUACGCAAGGAACACAAACGCCAACUCAGAUUCAGGACAUAUGCGAGCUCUUUACUUACAAACAAUACAUCCGUUUACCGGCUUCUUUUUGCCCUGCCUACGGUUAUAUACUGCUAAUUCACAAGAUGGCAACCUAUGCUAAUGCUUUCUAUUUUUUUCUAAAGCAGUUUAUAUGGGAAUUAUUACUUUUUCGUGUGUAGUUGUUUGUUAAAGAUCAUUUACCAUUAGCAGCUCUAACAUAUGCACGUGGAAUGGCGCCAGACGUUUGCGUCUCGUUACAAAGUUUGGAGUAGCCUACGCAUUUUGCUACAAAAGAACGGAGAAAUACCCCUUGCAUUGCUCGUUGAGUAGGCUAGUUGUACGCGUUUCUUGUGUAGAGUAACAGGCCUAAAGCGUCUCGAAAUGUCGAUUGGAUGAAUUUUGAGAAAUCUGUCACGAAGUUGAGGCUCUUAAAGAUAUAGUAAGACUGAUUUGAUCUGGCUAUUGACUGCACAUUACAAAAUGAAGACGCAACUUUACUGCCUCCAGUCUGCUUUCAAAAACCAAGGCAGAAAAGUAAUUUUGUUGGAGGAUUGCAAUGCCAGCUCCACUGCUACAGCGGAUACAGAAUUACUUUAGUCUCCAAAGUGCCUGAAUAGAAGGCCUCAAGAUGGAUCCACAUGCACAGCAUCUGACGGCCUUGUACAACAGAAGGUAGACAACAACUGGAAAGAUAACAGAAGCUGUGACAUCACAAGACCAGCAGGCUAUUCCUGUUAUAUAUAUUGCUACAUCUAAGGAGAAACCAGACAAAGAUGAUGCAGCUGUUGCCUGUUGACCUGCUUUCAGCUGUGGAGGAGGUCCAGUCAGCUUUUUUUCUGACUGUUACAAAAAUGCCAUCUAGGUGUGAGUUGGUGGUCAAUCUCUAGUGCUACAAAUGCAGUGCAGAUGGUUACUAUGGCUACUUGGAGGCCAUUUGGAUUUGGAUUGGAUUAGCCCUGUACCUUCCUCAGGGAAGUAGAUUUUUUUUUUUUUUUUUGAAGGAAAAAAAUGGAUUUAGUUUUUAAACCCAGUUGUUGUUUUUUUGCCAUAACCGUUUACUUCUGGGGACAUAAAAGGCUGAAGUAUACGUUGACUAACUCAAGUUAGUGAAGAAAUGUCAAGUUUAAUUAUGUCAUAUUUCCUAGGUUAUUUGCAUGGUGAGUGGGAAGAGUGUAACAUCUAAUUAUUUUACGGUGUUUGUGUAAUCGAGAGGGAAUAUGAUGUAGAAGUAAUCUAAACUAGAAACUGAAGUCUGAGGAGUCCAACCCGAAAAGACUGCUUAGAUUAUUUUUUCACGGGUAUCCACAAGUCUUUUGAGACAAAAUUCAGGUCUGUUAGUAAAAAUUAGUCAUUGAAUUGUACUCUUGAGAUGCCUAUGUGUGGCUGAAUGUAUUGAGUAAAUUAAGGGAAUUCCCAUUCUGACACCCUUUCCUCUCAGUGGUCUGCACUGUAGAGCUUUUCCACCGAUUGACAUGAUAGCCACAGCAGUACCUGCAGCAGCAUCCCUUAGGAAGAUAUUUAAAUUGGAGCUGCACACGCUUCAGAUGCACUAGACCGGUCAACGGGUCCCUGGCGGUGGAAAAACAGCGUUUCGCAGAUGGGUCCCUCAUGCGGGAGCGAGCCAGGACCCCUUACCCAGAACAUUAAAACAUGCACCGGAGAUGGGGAGCGCUCUGUGAAUGGUGAAUGCCCCCCCUGGAGUACCUGGGGGAAACCCACGCAAGCACAGGGAGAAACAUGCAAACUCUGCAGAGAAAGGCCCUGUCUGGGAUGUGAAUCCAGGAACUUCUUGCUAUGAAGUGACAGAGUGCUAUCCACUGCUCCACCAUGCAGAGUUUUCUUUUUUUGACCAUGUUUGCACGAGCGAGUACGUCACAACUCUACCAAUUCGUGUGGCAUCUAGAAUCCUGCUUUCCCUGACUUUAUCAUCCAGUAUAAUAAGGUGUCCAUGUGGACCUUCCUGGCGGUAGCCUCUUGUAGGCUGUAAAUCCGCCGCUGCUGGACAGCAGGGUUACUGCCCUCCCCACGCACAUUGACACAGGAAGUCGUAACCCGCUGCCUGGCUGUGCACCCCUCGACCGGCCAAUAAAUCGCAGGAGAGGGUCCGCCCCCCGUUUGCGAUCACCUGCUCGGCCUGCCCGCUCAGCUUUAAUUAAGACUGAGCGAGGGGGGGGUGGAGUUGGACGGGGCGUGGGGGCGUAACGAGAUCCCCGGCUAAUCAGUGACUUAUCUGGCCGAUCGGCACACGGGGGAGAGCAACUGAGACGGUGCUGAGGUCACGCCGCGAGCAGGCUCUGGAAAUGGAACCGCGGGACGGCCUUUCCGCUCGUUAAAAGCCACGGUCGAAUGCCUACGAGAAGCCGUCCGGCCACGGAGGCCGGGGUGAUCGGAGUCCUCCUAACGGUGAAUCCGAAAGUCUGCACUGGGGCCGGCCGACUGGUACAGGAGAAUAUUCCUGAGAUGUCCCGCAUACAGCUCAAUGCUCCCAAGUGAAAUUUAUCUGCUGCACAGCACAGAUACAGACCUGCCCGGUUGACCAUAUAACUGCAUAGGGUGUCCUCCUUUUUGUACUUUAUUUAUAGCAUUGAAUCCACAAGGACAGUAUAAUGAUCAACGUAUCCACAUUAGUGUCACUGUAAAUGUGUUCAAUUUCCACAUGUAGUCCCUGUAUAGACUACAACAGAUAAAAGUACAGAUAAUGUAUAAUCAAAUUGAGGGGGAGGGGGAUAGGUACAUAUUCUGAAUGUCAUAUUUUUUACAUACAUAUUUCAUGUUUUAACCAAGAACAGGUCUAGCAAUUCGUGCAAGCAUUUUUGGGUGUGUGGUUGGUGAAAUGGUUUGCUGUUGCUGAUUUUAUUUGCGUUUCUGCUUGCAGAUUGUGUGGGAAAGCCAACCCUAAUUUGGCACACCUGAAUCUACUAAUUAGCAGCUCAACAAGAUAUCUAGCUGUUGAAUGAGGUGUGCUUUAUUAGGGUUGGAGUGAAAACAUACAGGAUGGUAGAUCCCCAGGAACAGAGCUGGUUACCACUGGCAUAGACACACACUCUUCUCUGCAUUCCUUUCUGUAUUUCAUUGAACUCACUGGCCUACUCCUUUGCUGGAGAGUGCUGUCUUUCACAUUGUCCUACAAGUUUCACUGUGUCAUUGAAAGAUGUGACAAACUAACGAUUUUCCAAAAUGUGCAGAAAGAUCACCGCAGUUAUUAAAACACACAAUGUGCAAAAGUCCAAAUGUCCAUUAUACUUUUUAUUUUUUGGUAGCUUUUGCAUAUGACAUACUUAGAUCAUAGAUGAGAAGUUAUCUUACGUUGAUACAUUUUAUUACAGGAGCAGAAGUACUUAGAUCAUAGAUGAGAAGUUAUCUUACGUUGAUACAUUUUAUUACAGGAGCAGAAGUACUCAAAUACAUUUGUAUGAAUAGGAAAGGUUUUACUUCAGAGCGACACCUGUGACUCCUCCCUGUCCGGGUCCUAUAAGCUCACAUGACAAUUCAGGGCUGCAAUAUAUCCUAUACAUCAUAUAGCUACAGUAUGUCUUACAAAUCACAUAUACUUCUAUAUAUAUCGUAUAUUUCAAUAUAUCAGCACGUUGAUUCCCUUUAACUGGAGCACACACAGAACACACCCAGCUCAGAGAUCCCUGAGGUGCAUUGCCAUUUUAGGCCAGCUGGAUCUUCUCCUCGCUAUGCUAAUGACGUCCGCACGGUAUUUGGUCUCUCCCAUCCGCCCCCCUCCCCCUCCCCCCCUUUGCCCCAUGCAAUGGACAGCGGAAUGUAAACACGGGAGCCCGCCUGACG
Long non-coding RNA from Anguilla rostrata (American eel), 4015 nucleotides. RefSeq lists it as uncharacterized. Lineage: Eukaryota; Metazoa; Chordata; Actinopteri; Anguilliformes; Anguillidae. The record is from RefSeq and is a predicted model, not a curated record. The transcript is spliced from 6 exons.